UUCAGAAGAGCCAGCCCUGCUGCUGGGAGUCAGCAGUGGUGGAAAACCGAGAAGAAUUCAGCAAGGAGAUGGUGCUGUCACUUGGAAAAGGCGUGUGGAUUUUCUGAGCUGUCAGCCCUGCUCACACCUCUUGGAGAUGUGGGCUGGAUUACUCAGCCAUAGAACUACUGCAGCAAAAAAAAUUGAAGCCCAGCACCAGGAUGGAUCAAGGGAUCUCAGUGGCUUUGGGAUGCAGCUGCUCUGGGUGCAGCAGAAAGAGGAAAGCAGGUGCUGGGGUCUGACCUUGCUGGACUCCAGAUUUCUUUGGCAGCACCUUCUGGAGUGGGGAGAGCAAGUGGGUGUCAAAGCAGCUGUCUGCAUCCUGGGAGGUUUUUUGGGGUGGUGCUGGGGGGGUCAUCAGAUGGAACCCCCAUCCUCCAGCCCAGCCAGCACCCCACACUCACCCCCAGCCCCUGCCAAAGGCCAGCAGCCAGCAGAGUAAAUCCUUUUCAUUUGGAUCCCGCUGACACAAAUAACUCCAGGUCUUGGGCUGAAACAUCAGCAAUCACCUCUUUCCACUGCCAGCUGGCAUGGCAAGCUAAUUUUAACCUCCCAAGCUCCCUCCCAUCUCCUGGAGGUUGUCCUGUUGCAGCCAGGGAGUGCUAGAAAAUAGUGCAUCGCCCACUCAUCCAGCCUCCUUCAAGGGAAAUAUUUAUAUGAUGCCAAAGAGAGGGUUUCCAUGGCAGUGAUGACUCUAGCACUGUCGCCUUGGAAACCACUUGAGGCCAUCUUGAAGGGUUUGAAAAUCCCCUUCAGAGACAAAUAAGGAGAGGGAGAGGAAAGGCCACUGGGAUCAGAGUAUCAAAGAGGUGACUUUCCUGUCAGCUCCUUGCCUGCUCCAGCUGCCUGGGUCCCUGCCCACGCCACUGGGAUGAUUUGCAGUUCAGGUGUGGCUUCGUGGAUAGACUCAGCACAAAGGAAUGAAGUGCUUUGCAAACAGAAAUGGUUCGGUCACGGUUUCCAAACCAUCCAGCAGUGACUCAGGUGCUCCAGAGGGGCUUCAGGGAGAUUCUGGGGUGAUUAUCAGCGCCUGCCCACCUUCAAGCACCAGCUGCUUUUGGAGCAGCAAACACACAAGUUCCACGUCUUUGACAGCCCGAGUCAUCACACAUGAAGAGCCUCGUGCUUCUCCUGAGGAGCUGCCAAAAUGCGAGCACAGGCGAGAGGCGGCUGCCGCAGCAGGAGCGGUGGAAGGAGCGCCCCUGUGUCAGCCCGCAUCCCGCUCCAGCCGGCCCCACGCCUUUGGCCAUUUAUGUCCCAGCCUGCAGGAGCUCUGUCACCGGCAGCCAGCCCAUCUGGCUCUCAAGGACACCAAGAAGCGGCAGGGAGAGCAAAGCUUUCCGAGCAGAUGGGUGAUGAGCUCCACAAUGCAGCCAGUGCUGCUGCUUGCUCAAGCUAAGGGAAUGUUUUCUUUGGGGUUUUGCUGAAAAAUAUUAGUUACCGUCUUCAUUUUGUUUAGGGCCAUCUAAAAUAUUUUCUUCUUUCUCCCUGAGCUGCCAAAGUCAGUGACUGUCCAAGCCUGGCAUCCAUGCUUUGCUCUGCACAUCUCCCCUCAGCCCUCCAAAACCCAGCCAGCUUCCCCACAGAGAAACACCCGUGCAGUGCUCAGUCCCUCAGCCUACACCCAAGAGAGGGUCUGGCCACAGUGCAGUACCAGGUUAAGUCACACCUCUCCAUCCUGCUGCCUGCUCCUGCCUGCACCUCGAGGGUGCCAGGACAGCACCCAGUCCACUCUUGACCCGCAGCAUGUGAAAAUCCUCGAUUAUAUUAAUGCAGCUUCUCAUGUCUGCAAUGUGAAACACACGGGUAUGAGGCCAGGGAUGUUUGGCUUUGCCCGGGGGUGAGCUCCUAGCAGGCUGUGUGUCACAAAAUUCAUGCCUGGCCCACGCUGACCAAAGUGCCAGGUUGGGAUGCAAAGCUUGGAAUUACAAGUGUAAAUAUUUAUUAAUGAUUGUGAGAUAUCCCAGCCAAAUCAGGGCACCUAGAUGUGUGGUGUUUUUUUUUUUUUUUAUGGAGUUCUUACAUCCAUCAAGCAUUCAGGUAAAACAGGAGUUGACUGAGCACUGAGACCCACACUAACAGAUCUCCAAUCACAGGAAAAUUUGGCAAAGCUGCUGUUUCUGCCUGUCUAUAGAUCCAGGUGUCCUUGAGCCCCUCUGGCUGCAGGGACUGACCUGGGACACCAGACAAGGCUGGGAGGCUCUCAGAGCCGGGAUGCUGUGGUACCUUGGUCAUCCCAGGGAUAAAGCUGUUCUUUGUCCCUCAGGAGCUGCUCUAAGCCUCCCAAAAGCAAAGUCCUUCUCUCCAGGGCCGGGCUAUUUGUUUUGCUCCAGCACGAACAAUACCGAAAUCUUCAAUAAAACUCCACUCCCUCAUCA
Long non-coding RNA from Oenanthe melanoleuca, 2417 nucleotides. RefSeq lists it as uncharacterized. The record is from RefSeq and is a predicted model, not a curated record. NCBI's taxonomy places the organism in Eukaryota, Metazoa, Chordata, Aves, Passeriformes, Muscicapidae. The transcript has 3 exons.